UACGAAGGGGGCUAGCGUUGUUCGGAAUUACUGGGCGUAAAGCGCACGUAGGCGGACAUUUAAGUCAGGGGUGAAAUCCCAGAGCUCAACUCUGGAACUGCCUUUGAUACUGGGGGUCUUGAGUAUGGAAGAGGUGAGUGGAAUUCCGAGUGUAGAGGUGAAAUUCGUAGAUAUUCGGAGGAACACCAGUGGCGAAGGCGGCUCACUGGUCCAUUACUGACGCUGAGGUGCGAAAGCGUGGGGAGCAAACAGG
Molecule: ribosomal RNA, 253 nt
Filed under: uncultured bacterium
Lineage: Bacteria
Description: partial 16S ribosomal RNA
Rfam family: Bacterial small subunit ribosomal RNA
Source: RNAcentral